CAACUGCAAGAUCGUAUUAUAGAAGGUGAAUGAUUGUAAUUUGA
This 44-nucleotide non-coding RNA is filed under the name Trypanosoma brucei brucei. Lineage: Eukaryota; Euglenozoa; Kinetoplastea; Trypanosomatida; Trypanosomatidae. The record is from RNAcentral.